CGCUAGCUACAGGCUUAACACAUGCAAGUCGAGGGGCAGCAUGGUCUUAGCUUGCUAAGGCCGAUGGCGACCGGCGCACGGGUGAGUAACACGUAUCCAACCUGCCGUCUACUCUUGGACAGCCUUCUGAAAGGAAGAUUAAUACAAGAUGGCAUCAUGAGUCCGCAUGUUCACAUGAUUAAAGGUAUUCCGGUAGACGAUGGGGAUGCGUUCCAUUAGAUAGUAGGCGGGGUAACGGCCCACCUAGUCUUCGAUGGAUAGGGGUUCUGAGAGGAAGGUCCCCCACAUUGGAACUGAGACACGGUCCAAACUCCUACGGGAGGCAGCAGUGAGGAAUAUUGGUCAAUGGACGCGAGUCUGAACCAGCCAAGUAGCGUGAAGGAUGACUGCCCUAUGGGUUGUAAACUUCUUUUAUAUGGGAAUAAAGUUGUCCACGUGUGGAUUUUUGUAUGUACCAUAUGAAUAAGGAUCGGCUAACUCCGUGCCAGCAGCCGCGGUAAUACGGAGGAUCCGAGCGUUAUCCGGAUUUAUUGGGUUUAAAGGGAGCGUAGGCGGAUUGUUAAGUCAGUUGUGAAAGUUUGCGGCUCAACCGUAAAAUUGCAGUUGAUACUGGCAGUCUUGAGUGCAGUAGAGGUGGGCGGAAUUCGUGGUGUAGCGGUGAAAUGCUUAGAUAUCACGAAGAACUCCGAUUGCGAAGGCAGCUCACUGGAGUGUAACUGACGCUGAUGCUCGAAAGUGUGGGUAUCAAACAGGAUUAGAUACCCUGGUAGUCCACACAGUAAACGAUGAAUACUCGCUGCUUGCGAUAUACAGUAAGCGGCCAAGCGAAAGCAUUAAGUAUUCCACCUGGGGAGUACGCCGGCAACGGUGAAACUCA
RNAcentral lists this ribosomal RNA (877 nucleotides) under uncultured organism. RNAcentral's name for it is "SSU rRNA". It matches the Rfam family "Bacterial small subunit ribosomal RNA", at positions 34 to 903 of the family's 1533-position model. The record is from RNAcentral.